AAAUUGAAGAGUUUGAUCAUGGCUCAGAUUGAACGCUGGCGGCAGGCCUAACACAUGCAAGUCGAGCGGAAACGAGUUAUCUGAACCUUCGGGGAACGAUAACGGCGUCGAGCGGCGGACGGGUGAGUAAUACCUAGGAAAUUGCCCUGAUGUGGGGGAUAACCAUUGGAAACGAUGGCUAAUACCGCAUGAUGCCUACGGGCCAAAGAGGGGGACCUUCGGGCCUCUCGCGUCAGGAUAUGCCUAGGUGGGAUUAGCUAGUUGGUGAGGUAAGGGCUCACCAAGGCGACGAUCCCUAGCUGGUCUGAGAGGAUGAUCAGCCACACUGGAACUGAGACACGGUCCAGACUCCUACGGGAGGCAGCAGUGGGGAAUAUUGCACAAUGGGCGCAAGCCUGAUGCAGCCAUGCCGCGUGUGUGAAGAAGGCCUUCGGGUUGUAAAGCACUUUCAGUCGU
RNAcentral lists this ribosomal RNA (456 nucleotides) under Vibrio parahaemolyticus. Its description in RNAcentral is "bacterial SSU rRNA". It matches the Rfam family "Bacterial small subunit ribosomal RNA", at positions 1 to 443 of the family's 1533-position model. Lineage: Bacteria; Pseudomonadati; Pseudomonadota; Gammaproteobacteria; Vibrionales; Vibrionaceae. The record is from RNAcentral.